This 394-nucleotide ribosomal RNA is filed under the name uncultured bacterium. RNAcentral's name for it is "partial 16S ribosomal RNA". It matches the Rfam family "Bacterial small subunit ribosomal RNA", at positions 355 to 742 of the family's 1533-position model. The record is from RNAcentral.
UGGGGAAUAUUGCACAAUGGGCGCAAGCCUGAUGCAGCCAUGCCGCGUGUGUGAAGAAGGCCUUCGGGUUGUAAAGCACUUUCAGCGAGGAGGAAGGUGGUGAACUUAAUACGUUCAUCAAUUGACGUUACUCGCAGAAGAAGCACCGGCUAACUCCGUGCCAGCAGCCGCGGUAAUACGGAGGGUGCAAGCGUUAAUCGGAAUUACUGGGCGUAAAGCGCACGCAGGCGGUUUGUUAAGUCAGAUGUGAAAUCCCCGGGCUCAACCUGGGAACUGCAUUUGAAACUGGCAAGCUAGAGUCUCGUAGAGGGGGUAGAAUUCCAGGUGUAGCGGUGAAAUGCGUAGAGAUCUGGAGGAAUACCGGUGGCGAAGGCGGCCCCCUGGACGAAGACUG